This 2459-nucleotide long non-coding RNA is filed under the name Heterocephalus glaber (naked mole-rat). RNAcentral's name for it is "lncRNA (ENSHGLG00000035330.1)". The record is from RNAcentral. Lineage: Eukaryota; Metazoa; Chordata; Mammalia; Rodentia; Bathyergidae.
ACUGCCCUGCGGGGCCUGCCCACCCUACUUCCAUCCUCCUCGGCCUCCUCUCUGACAGGGCCCUUUGCGUGUGUCUCCUCCUCCAGCCAGAGGCAGGUCUGGGCCCCAGGCUGGGGACCCCUGUGGGCCAAACACCAUGGAAGCCCUGCUAUCCAGGCUCCACUAGGCAGCACCGAUCCACUCUAAUAGCAGUUUCCAGCGUCCGGCGAGCACCUCGGCUGCCCUCCAGCCCUGAGGCCAGCUGGGCCCUGCUGUGCACAGGGCGGACAGGCUGUCUCACAUGGAACAGGGUGUGGAGCGGUGCGGGUGUGGCCCAGCAGCUCCGAGCGCAUGGGUAUGGCAGCCCCCUCCCCCCGCCAGGAGGCCUGGGAGCCUCUCCACAGUGGACUGUGGCCUCCUCAGCCCCAGGUGGCCUCUCAGACGGGGCAGAGUGAGAAGGUAAGGAAGUGAUGCCUCCUGACUUCCAGCCGCCACCCCAACAGCAGCGUGGGGCCCGCGUGACACUCUCUGGGCACCCUGGCAUGCAGGUGCCAGGUCCCCGGGAGGGCUGUCCUGGUUCCACCCAGGUCUUCGCCAGCAGCCAGUCCCAGCAGGACAGUGGGAGAAGAGGCCCUGGACCAGGGAAGCAGAGACGGGUCCCCACCCUCUCCAGCCAGCUGGAUCCCCAACCUGCUGGGCCUGGGUGCUAACAAACGGCCUCGCUCACUGUAAGCCGAGGAGUGUAGGGCAGCUGGGCACACCGCAGCAGGAGAGAAUCCUGGUCACCAGCAGGGGGGGCGUUGCCGCUGAGGUCACCUUCCUGAAGCCUCAGACCCCGCCCAGGAAGAGGCUGACUGUGCCCCUCAGCCGGCCGGAGCAGGGCGGCAGAGGCCGGGCGUGGCUGGGAAGGGAGCACUCCCGCCAGCCCUGUGUCCUCCUGGGGCGUCCUGCAGGGCCGGUUGCGCUGCGCUGGGGCUCCUGCAGCAACGCUUGGACCUGGUGGGAAAGUCGGUCUAUUCCUGGUUUGCUGACCGCGAGUGGGGAGCAUAUUGUGUCGGAUGUUUUCUUUUGCGUCGUCGAGGCAUGAUUGCCUGCCUGUUGGGUUGUCAGACGAUCUCUGCAUGCUAAGCCAGGCUCCAUUCCCCAAGUAACCUGCACGGGCGUGAUGCAGUAUUACCCUGGGGUUUAGUAUUGGGGAACGCUGGGUUUGGGGCAAUGUUGGGCACCAUGGCAGUGAUUUGAAAGUGUUUCUCCUCUUUUCUGAAAGCAAUUGUGUGACACUGACCUUCUUUUCUUGUUAGAAUUCACCAGUAAACGAAGAUGGGCCUGGAGUUUUCCUUUUUGGAAGGCUUCAACAGCACCUUCCAUUUCUCUCAUGGGUAGAGGACUGUCCUGCCCACUGAUUUCUCCUUGAACGUGGGUAGCUGGUGUCUCUUAAGGAACCAGUGUCUUGUCUGUAUUUGUUCAACUGGACAAAGAGUUGUUCUGGUGUCCUGGACCGUGCUUUAAGGACUGGUGUCAGUAGCAGAGGUCUGUCUUUCUGUUUCUGAUCUUAGUAAUUUGUGUCUCUAUUUUUUAAUUGGUCAAUCUGUCCGAAGGUUUAUUGGUUUCAUAGAAAACCAGAUUUUGGUUUAAUUCACUGCUCUUUUUCUGUUAUCAAUUCCACUGAUUUUUUAUUUUUGGUUUUUUGAGACAAAGUCUCGCUCUAUAGUUCAGGCUGGCUCGGAACUCACUGUGUAGCCCAGGCUGGCCUCCAACUUGUGGCGAUCCUCCUACCUCAGCCUCCCUAGUACCAGGAUUUUAGGCAUGCACCACCAUGCCUGGCCCAUUCCAUUGAUUUCUUUUCUAGUCUUUACUAUUCCCCUUUAUUCUACUUUUUUUAGGUUUGAUUUUCUCUUCAUCUUCAGUUUCUUUAAGUGGACACUUAAGACACUGAUUUGAAAUCUUUCCUUUUUCUAAUAUAGGCAUUUAUGGCUAAACACUUUCCUCUUUGCAUGGCUUUGCCUGCUGCCCAUGAGUUUUUUUUUAUUUUUGGUACCAGGGAUCGAACUCGGGUCCUUGCACUUGCAAGGCAGGUGACAGAACCACUGGCCUAAAUCCCCGACCCCAAACCAUGAGUUUUGAUAUGUUACUCUCUCUGCUUCAGUUCAAAGCACUUUCAGUGUUCUUUGAGAUUUCCUCUCAUGGGUAAUUGUGGAGCUGCUAUUUAAUCUAAUUUAAUCUCCUUAUGUUCCGAGACCAUGCUUUAUAUGAGUUCUCUCUGAGAGUUUGCCAGGCUGCUUUGUGAGCCAGAAUGCAGCCUGUCUUGCUGAAAGCUGUGUGCCCUUGAGCAGCGUGGGCUGCCGGAGUCUUUCUGCCAGUGUAUUGGUGUCAGGUGGAUUGAGCUGGCGAUGUCGGUCAGGUCCUCCACCAGGUCCUCCGCAGAGGCUGAAGUCUCCAACCACGGGAGAGGACUGGUGGGCCUCUGCCUCGGCCGCGCC